This 831-nucleotide long non-coding RNA is filed under the name Nicotiana tabacum (common tobacco). RNAcentral describes it as "long non-coding RNA (NTAB_LNC004895)". The record is from RNAcentral. Lineage: Eukaryota; Viridiplantae; Streptophyta; Magnoliopsida; Solanales; Solanaceae.
AGACUUGAAAGGCUUAGGGGGAAAGUUCUAUCUAUAAUUAGCUGCCGCUGAACUUGAAGUUUGGUAAGUAAUUUCCCGAGGUAACUUAAUCAGUUUUCUUAUUUCUUUUCUUUCUUCUUUUUCCUUUAGACUGGAGUGUAUGCUGAAUUUAAUAUCAUAGUAGGACUUGAUGGUGCGCGUAUUACUGCAGGCUUGUAUCCUAGCUAAUGAAGAGGAUUGAGAUGUACUCCUUUAAGGGCUGCAACUUGAUGCCAUAUAUAGUGAGACCUAUUUAUAUAUAUGUCUAGUCUUCUGCAAACUUGUUGCACUGCGGAGAUAUCAGUCGGUAAGUCAACAGAUAAUUUAAGGACAAUUCAAUUACAAGACACUGGCGCGACUUUGAACAGUGCAUUUUAUUUGAUUAUUCAGUUUUAUUAGUCGCCCUAAUAUGCUACUCUUGUCAAUGGAUGUCCCUAUUAUUUCCAACUUUUUCUUAAAUCUUGUCAUCUAUGAUGCACAAAAGUACUAAUCUUUAUCUUCUUUUUGUUCUUACGCAUCUUGUAGGGUCACUACAAGGCAAAAUGAUCCUGCCAAUAUUAGGCUUUUGCUGUGGAUGAAUAGAAGUCCAGGAGUUGCUGUCACUAAAACAAACUGCCUUUUGUUUUAAUUAAUCACUAAAACAAGCUGCCUUUUGUUUUAAUUAAGUUGGCUUCAGCCAUUAGCAACUAGUUUUGUUGGUUUUAGUUUCCGUCAUAUUAGCAUCAACUUUUCUAUUUCGCAUUAUGUGUUUAUGCGACUACAUUUCCUAUCAUGAAGGUUUAAUCUCUGCACAUAUAAUAUAUUUAAGGGAGA